This 84-nucleotide ribosomal RNA is filed under the name Desulfuribacillus stibiiarsenatis. RNAcentral's name for it is "partial 23S ribosomal RNA". The record is from RNAcentral. Lineage: Bacteria; Bacillati; Bacillota; Desulfuribacillia; Desulfuribacillales; Desulfuribacillaceae.
GAUGACGAGGUAGAUAGGUCUGGAGUGUAAGCAUAGUGAUAUGUUAAGCGGACAGAUACUAAUCGGUCGAGGGCUUAACCAAAA